UUAGGAAUAUUGGACAAUGGGCGCAAGCCUGAUCCAGCCAUGCCGCGUGAGCGAUGAAGGCCUUCGGGUUGUAAAGCUCUUUAGCCGACGAAUAUAAUGACUGUAGUCGGAGAAUAAGCCCCGGCUAACUUCGUGCCAGCAGCCGCGGUAAUACGAAGGGGGCGAGCGUUAUUCGGAAUCACUGGGCGUAAAGCGUGCGUAGGCUGUUUUGUAAGUCAGAAGUGAAAGCCCAGGGCUCAACCUUGGAAUU
Molecule: ribosomal RNA, 250 nt
Filed under: uncultured bacterium
Lineage: Bacteria
Description: partial 16S ribosomal RNA
Rfam family: Bacterial small subunit ribosomal RNA
Source: RNAcentral